GAUGAACGCUGGCGGCGUGCCUAAUACAUGCAAGUCGAACGGAAAGACGAUGAGCUUGUUCCUUUGACGUUAGCGGCGGGCGGGUGAGUAACGUGUAGAUCACCUACUUAUAUUACUGGGAUAAUCACGAGACACCGGAUCUAAUACCAGAUAAUAUUACGAACCGCGUGGUGCGAUAGUGAGUGUUGGCUUUGCUGUCACUUAUAGCUGCACCUGCGCCGGAUUAGCUAGUUGGUAAGGUAACGGCUUACCAAGGCUACGAUCCGUAGCCGAGCUGAGAGGCUGAUCGGCCACACUGGAACUGAGACACGGUCCAGACUCCUACGGGAGGCAGCAGUAGGGAAUGGUAGGCAAAGGGCGAAAGCCUGACACAGCGGGGCCGCGUGAGAGACGAAGGCCUUCGGUUCGUAAAGCCCGGUUAUUGGGGAAGAACAGCCGUGGAAUUAAACGAAGCGGUCUUGACGGUACCUAAUCAAGAAGCACCGGCUAACUACGUG
Molecule: ribosomal RNA, 497 nt
Filed under: uncultured bacterium
Lineage: Bacteria
Description: partial 16S ribosomal RNA
Rfam family: Bacterial small subunit ribosomal RNA
Source: RNAcentral